RNAcentral lists this ribosomal RNA (229 nucleotides) under uncultured bacterium. RNAcentral describes it as "partial 16S ribosomal RNA". It matches the Rfam family "Bacterial small subunit ribosomal RNA", at positions 568 to 796 of the family's 1533-position model. The record is from RNAcentral.
CACGUAGGCGGCCUGGUAAGUCAGAUGUGAAAGCCCGGGGCUUAACCCCGGAAGUGCAUUUGAUACUGUCAGGCUUGAGUAUGGGAGAGGGAAGUGGAAUUCCUGGUGUAGAGGUGAAAUUCGUAGAUAUCAGGAGGAACACCGGUGGCGAAGGCGACUUCCUGGACUAAUACUGACGCUGAGGUGCGAAGGCGUGGGUAGCAAACAGGAUUAGAUACCCUGGUAGUCC